RNAcentral lists this transfer RNA (75 nucleotides) under Phytohabitans maris. Its description in RNAcentral is "tRNA-Thr". It matches the Rfam family "tRNA". From Rfam's summary of the family: Transfer RNA (tRNA) molecules are approximately 80 nucleotides in length. Their secondary structure includes four short double-helical elements and three loops (D, anti-codon, and T loops). The record is from RNAcentral. Lineage: Bacteria; Bacillati; Actinomycetota; Actinomycetes; Micromonosporales; Micromonosporaceae.
GCCGACGAAGCACAACGGGUUGUGCCCCGGUCUUGUAAACCGGUGGACCCAGUUCGAGCCUGGGCGUCGGCUCCA